GAUGAACGCUGGCGGCGUGCCUAAUACAUGCAAGUCGAGCGAACGGACGAGAAGCUUGCUUCUCUGAUGUUAGCGGCGGACGGGUGAGUAACACGUGGAUAACCUACCUAUAAGACUGGGAUAACUUCGGGAAACCGGAGCUAAUACCGGAUAAUAUUUUGAACCGCAUGGUUCAAAAGUGAAAGACGGUCUUGCUGUCACUUAUAGAUGGAUCCGCGCUGCAUUAGCUAGUUGGUAAGGUAACGGCUUACCAAGGCAACGAUGCAUAGCCGACCUGAGAGGGUGAUCGGCCACACUGGAACUGAGACACGGUCCAGACUCCUACGGGAGGCAGCAGUAGGGAAUCUUCCGCAAUGGGCGAAAGCCUGACGGAGCAACGCCGCGUGAGUGAUGAAGGUCUUCGGAUCGUAAAACUCUGUUAUUAGGGAAGAACAUAUGUGUAAGUAACUGUGCACAUCUUGACGGUACCUAAUCAGAAAGCCACGGCUAACUACGUGCCAGCAGCCGCGGUAAUACGUAGGUGGCAAGCGUUAUCCGGAAUUAUUGGGCGUAAAGCGCGCGUAGGCGGUUUUUUAAGUCUGAUGUGAAAGCCCACGGCUCAACCGUGGAGGGUCAUUGGAAACUGGAAAACUUGAGUGCAGAAGAGGAAAGUGGAAUUCCAUGUGUAGCGGUGAAAUGCGCAGAGAUAUGGAGGAACACCAGUGGCGAAGGCGACUUUCUGGUCUGUAACUGACGCUGAUGUGCGAAAGCGUGGGGAUCAAACAGGAUUAGAUACCCUGGUAGUCCACGCCGUAAACGAUGAGUGCUAAGUGUUAGGGGGUUUCCGCCCCUUAGUGCUGCAGCUAACGCAUUAAGCACUCCGCCUGGGGAGUACGACCGCAAGGUUGAAACUCAAAGGAAUUGACGGGGACCCGCACAAGCGGUGGAGCAUGUGGUUUAAUUCGAAGCAACGCGAAGAACCUUACCAAAUCUUGACAUCCUUUGACAACUCUAGAGAUAGAGCCUUCCCCUUCGGGGGACAAAGUGACAGGUGGUGCAUGGUUGUCGUCAGCUCGUGUCGUGAGAUGUUGGGUUAAGUCCCGCAACGAGCGCAACCCUUAAGCUUAGUUGCCAUCAUUAAGUUGGGCACUCUAAGUUGACUGCCGGUGACAAACCGGAGGAAGGUGGGGAUGACCUCAAAUCAUCAUGCCCCUUAUGAUUUGGGCUACACACGUGCUACAAUGGACAAUACCAAAGGGCAGCGAAACCGCGAGGUCCAGCAAAUCCCAUAAAGGUGUUCUCACUUCCGAUUGUAAUCUGCCACUCCACUACAUGAAGCUGGGAAUCCCCAGUAAUCCUAAAACAACCAUGCUUCCGUGAAUACCUUCCCCGGGGU
This 1375-nucleotide ribosomal RNA is filed under the name uncultured bacterium. RNAcentral describes it as "bacterial SSU rRNA". It matches the Rfam family "Bacterial small subunit ribosomal RNA", at positions 28 to 1380 of the family's 1533-position model. The record is from RNAcentral.